GAGAGGAGGAGCCGGGCCCCUUGUAGGAUGUGGGUGUUCCUGUUGGAAAGGGGUGGGGUUUGCCCCUGAAGAAUUGGGGUUGACUGAUGAGCCGGGAGCACCGGGGUUUAGGUGGAUACUAGACCAGUCUGACUCUGGAACAAGUGAGGAAACACAAAACUGAAGAAAAGAUAACUGAAGUAACCAAGCUACCCCCUUGAAAAUCUGUCUUAAACAAAGCCCUCAUGGAGCUAGUUGCAAGAGAGACAGCCUGACAUCAUGGCAAGAGUGCUGUCCCAGACAUCAAAAAGUAGGAGAGCUGUGAUUUGGAUUUAGAGGACCUGGAUUUGAAUCCUGACUCGUGACACUUACUAGCAAUGUGACCUUGGGUAAGUCACAGCCUCUUUGAAUCUCAUUUUCCUCACCUGUAAGGACAGUGACACAGUAUAAAGACAGCUAUAACUGUAUUAUUCAGGCCACAGGUAGUUGUGAGGAAAGCCUUUGCAAACUAUAAAG
This 495-nucleotide long non-coding RNA is filed under the name Phascolarctos cinereus (koala). RNAcentral's name for it is "lncRNA (ENSPCIG00000021182.2)". The record is from RNAcentral. Lineage: Eukaryota; Metazoa; Chordata; Mammalia; Diprotodontia; Phascolarctidae.